This 709-nucleotide long non-coding RNA is filed under the name Mus musculus (house mouse). RNAcentral's name for it is "predicted gene 7568". The record is from RNAcentral. Lineage: Eukaryota; Metazoa; Chordata; Mammalia; Rodentia; Muridae.
AGAGGCAUGUAUGUGUUAAGGGAAAGAGGCCCUGGGAGCCAGGAAUGCAGGGCAGAUCAGAGCGAGCCAAACCAGGAAUGGAAGUUCUCACAGUCACUACUGAGCCCAGGGACAGACCAAGGUACUGGGAAUGGAACCUGGGACUUGACACAUAUGAGAUUCCAAUACUUGGUUACUAUUCCUGUGAUUAAAUACGAUGCUGUGGGUGUAGCUCAGUGUGGAACAUUCGCCAACAUGUACAAGGCUCUGGGGUUUGAGAAGAAAGGAAAAAGGGAGCAAGAAAUUCAAGCUGAGAUGUAGGUGAGUUGGUGGUACUCUGUUGGCCAGAAGGCUAAGUGCCCUGACUGGAGCUUGCAGAGAGAGGCCUCAACCAAAUCUGUCCACGCCACUCAUCUGCCUUGUUUCAGCUACAGGCUGACCCCUGUAGUGGGGGAUGCAGUGGAGGAAGAUGGGUCUGACUGUUAUCAGAAUGUGGUGAAGACGGGGUAGUAGUGUACCCCAAUUGGGUAGAGAAGGACAAACUUAUCAAAACACAAGAAAAACACUGACGUGCUAAGAAGAGAUGCCACUGGAUUUAAAAUGAAGCGUCACAGAAAGUCUUGUGUGCAGGAACAGUGUCAUUGAAGGACUAGCAGAAGAUCUAACUGCAAGCUAGACAGUGGUGAACAGGACUCCAGAGGGAUAACCAAAGGUAAAUGAAACAUUGGCC